CACCUCCUAAAACAACGGCUUCCGGAAUGUCUGCAAGUGUGAGGAGGGCUGGAAAGGUCAGAUUCAGAUCACCCCGAAGCAGGACAACUCCAACCAUCUGGUCUUCAGAAGUGUCUGUGCACACAUGGAGCCAUUAGUUCCACUUCUGGCUGGACCUGGACCUAAUCCUGCCUCUCUCUACAGUCUUCAGGGGCCCGUGGGGGCCACCCAAGAGACCCAUAACCACAGCAGCAACAAAUACCUCAGUCCUUACGUACAACUGCACAAGUCCAGGUGAUUCUGUCCCUGAAAACUCACUUCAAAGCUUUGUGUGUCACUGCUGCAGCACCUCGACUGACCUCCAGGCAAGCUGGACAGAUAGCCAGACAGAGGGGGGAAAGACAGGAAUGACUUGUGACAGUGAGGAAAAAUUCCAGAGGUGUUAGAAGAGGAACAGGAGGUAAGUUGGUGUCUGGGAUUUAAUGACCUUACAGCAAACACUUCAUCCAUCAGUUCCAUCAUGGACAAAACUGGUAAAUUACACACAACUAAACAGCUAC
RNAcentral lists this long non-coding RNA (539 nucleotides) under Danio rerio (zebrafish). Its description in RNAcentral is "si:dkeyp-21h4.2 (ENSDARG00000097640.3)". The record is from RNAcentral. Lineage: Eukaryota; Metazoa; Chordata; Actinopteri; Cypriniformes; Danionidae.